This 72-nucleotide transfer RNA is filed under the name Bos taurus (domestic cattle). It matches the Rfam family "tRNA". From Rfam's summary of the family: Transfer RNA (tRNA) molecules are approximately 80 nucleotides in length. Their secondary structure includes four short double-helical elements and three loops (D, anti-codon, and T loops). Further hydrogen bonds mediate the characteristic L-shaped molecular structure. tRNAs have two regions of fundamental functional importance: the anti-codon, which is responsible for specific mRNA codon recognition, and the 3' end, to which the tRNAs corresponding amino acid is attached (by aminoacyl-tRNA synthetases). tRNAs cope with the degeneracy of the genetic code in two manners: having more than one tRNA (with a specific anti-codon) for a particular amino acid; and 'wobble' base-pairing, i.e. permitting non-standard base-pairing at the 3rd anti-codon position. RNAcentral also lists the same sequence under 3 other names. The record is from Rfam by way of RNAcentral. Lineage: Eukaryota; Metazoa; Chordata; Mammalia; Artiodactyla; Bovidae.
UUCCUGACAGUCCAGUGGUUAGGAUGCUGCACUUCCACUGAGGGGGCGCAGGUUCAAUCCCUGGUUGGGAAC